Molecule: long non-coding RNA, 489 nt
Organism: Homo sapiens (human)
Lineage: Eukaryota; Metazoa; Chordata; Mammalia; Primates; Hominidae
Exons: 3
Source: RefSeq, a predicted model, not a curated record
CCAAAGAUAGGCUGAAGUUUUAACUCCUGGUACCUGUAAAUAUGGCCUUAUUUGGAAAUAGGAACUUUGUAGAUGUCAUCAAAUUUAAGAUGAGAUCAUACUAUGUUGGGGGUGGGGCCCUAAAUCCAAUGGCUGUUGCCUUGAUAAAAGAAAAGAUUUAGAUACAGAGACACAAAGGCCAUAUGACAACGGAGGCAGAGACUGUAAUGAUGCAGCUACAAGUCGAGGAGUGCCAAGGAUUGCCAGACACCAGCAGAAGCUAAGAAAAGAGGCACCAUCCACUUGGCUCUGGACGACGCCCUGCCUGGCUGAGCUGCCCUGGGAGCUGUCAACACGGGUGUGCGUGCUGGUAUUCCAGAGGCUGCAUGCUCACCUGUGGGUGCUGUGGGAGCAAGGACAGUCGCACUGGGAGAAAGGUGUUUCCCUUCAACCUCACGAUUCCCCGAGCCUAUGACUGGAUUCCUGGCCUGUGGUUUUCAAACUUCAGAG